Molecule: ribosomal RNA, 258 nt
Filed under: uncultured bacterium
Lineage: Bacteria
Description: partial 16S ribosomal RNA
Rfam family: Bacterial small subunit ribosomal RNA
Source: RNAcentral
ACCUACGGGGCGCAGCAGUGGGGAAUAUUGCACAAUGGGGGAAACCCUGAUGCAGCGACGCCGCGUGAGUGAAGAAGUAUUUCGGUAUGUAAAGCUCUAUCAGCAGGGAAGAAGAAAGACGGUACCUGACUAAGAAGCCCCGGCUAACUACGUGCCAGCAGCCGCGGUAAUACGUAGGGGGCAAGCGUUAUCCGGAUUUACUGGGUGUAAAGGGAGCGUAGACGGAGAAGCAAGUCUGAAGUGAAAGCCCGUGGCUUA